This 192-nucleotide ribosomal RNA is filed under the name endophyte RBb4. RNAcentral describes it as "partial small subunit ribosomal RNA". It matches the Rfam family "Eukaryotic small subunit ribosomal RNA", at positions 34 to 228 of the family's 1831-position model. Lineage: Eukaryota; Fungi; Ascomycota. The record is from RNAcentral.
GUCUCAAAGAUUAAGCCAUGCAUGUCUAAGUAUAAGCAAUCUAUACGGUGAAACUGCGAAUGGCUCAUUAAGUCAGUUAUCGUUUAUUUGAUAGUACCUUACUACUUGGAUAACCGUGGUAAUUCUAGAGCUAAUACAUGCUAAAAACCCCGACUUCGGAAGGGGUGUAUUUAUUAGAUAAAAAACCAAUGC